RNAcentral lists this unclassified non-coding RNA (733 nucleotides) under uncultured Prochlorococcus sp. RNAcentral describes it as "partial may contain 16S ribosomal RNA, 16S-23S ribosomal RNA intergenic spacer, and 23S ribosomal RNA". The stretch from base 331 to 403 matches the Rfam family "tRNA". The record is from RNAcentral. Lineage: Bacteria; Bacillati; Cyanobacteriota; Cyanophyceae; Synechococcales; Prochlorococcaceae.
CGCCGAAGGUGGGGCUGAUGACUGGGGUGAAGUCGUAACAAGGUAGCCGUACCGGAAGGUGCGGCUGGAUCACCUCCUAACAGGGAGACAAUAAAUUGAUUGUGAUGUCUAAGUUAUUUAUUCUUAGGCCGCAAUCCUGUCACCUUAAGGUCGAUCGGUACCUCAGAUUUUUGAAUUAGUUUUACAAUUCAUUCUUUGAUUUCAGUUCCUAAACUUGUCUAGGUCACACCCAACAAAGGUUUCUCCUGGGCCAUUAGCUCAGGUGGUUAGAGCGCACCCCUGAUAAGGGUGAGGUCCCUGGUUCAAGUCCAGGAUGGCCCAUUCGUUGUUGGGGGUAUAGCUCAGUUGGUAGAGCGCCUGCUUUGCAAGCAGGAUGUCAGCGGUUCGAGUCCGCUUACCUCCACUGAAAACUAUCCUGAUAACUAAAUUUCUGGAGAAAAAAAUUGUAGAUGUGGCUUAGAAUUGUCUAUUUGAAAAGAACCUAGCUUCUUGUCAUCUUUUUAUAGUUGAUAAAAUGCUGGGCUCGCAUGGAUUAUUUCCAUGAGAAUUCAGUAGAACCUUGAAAACUGCAUAGAUUAGAAAGAAUAAAGCAUCUCAUGGAUGCAUAGUUCUGUUUUAUAAUUUAGCCUUAAAACUAAAUUAUUUAAUUCUAGAAUUCAUGUUUAAUUCUUGAGUAAUAGCCGAGCACAAUUGAUUUUGUGAUUGUAUUAAAGGUCAAGCUACAAAGGGCUCA